UACGGGGGGGGCAAGCGUUGUUCGGAAUUACUGGGCGUAAAGGGCUCGUAGGCGGCCAACUAAGUCAUACGUGAAAUCCCUCGGCUUAACCGGGGAACUGCGUCUGAUACUGGAUGGCUUGAGUUCGGGAGAGGGAUGCGGAAUUCCAGGUGCAGCGGUGAAAUGCGUAGAUAUCUGGAGGAACACCGGUGGCGAAGGCGGCAUCCUGGACCGAUACUGACGCUGAGGAGCGAAAGCCAGGGGAGCAAACGGG
RNAcentral lists this ribosomal RNA (253 nucleotides) under uncultured bacterium. RNAcentral's name for it is "partial 16S ribosomal RNA". It matches the Rfam family "Bacterial small subunit ribosomal RNA", at positions 524 to 776 of the family's 1533-position model. The record is from RNAcentral.